This 481-nucleotide ribosomal RNA is filed under the name Ganoderma curtisii. RNAcentral describes it as "partial large subunit ribosomal RNA". It matches the Rfam family "Eukaryotic large subunit ribosomal RNA", at positions 429 to 903 of the family's 3401-position model. The record is from RNAcentral. Lineage: Eukaryota; Fungi; Basidiomycota; Agaricomycetes; Polyporales; Polyporaceae.
UCAGUCGCGUUGUCCGGAACUCAGCCUUGCUUUUGCUUGGUGCACUUUCCGGAUGACGGGUCAGCAUCGAUUUUGACCGUCGGAAAAGGGCUGGAGUAAUGUGGCACCUCCGGGUGUGUUAUAGACUCUGGUCGCAUACGGCGGUUGGGAUCGAGGAACGCAGCGCGCCGCGAGGCAGGGGUUCGCCCACUUUCGCGCUUAGGAUGCUGGCAUAAUGGCUUUAAACGACCCGUCUUGAAACACGGACCAAGGAGUCUAACAUACUUGCGAGUGUUUGGGUGGAAAACCCGAGCGCGUAAUGAAAGUGAAAGUUGAGAUCCCUGUCGUGGGGAGCAUCGACGCCCGGACCAGACGUUCUCUGACGGAUCCGCGGUAGAGCAUGUAUGUUGGGACCCGAAAGAUGGUGAACUAUGCCUGAAUAGGGUGAAGCCAGAGGAAACUCUGGUGGAGGCUCGUAGCGAUUCUGACGUGCAAAUCGAUC